GACGAACGCUGGCGGCGUGCCUAAUACAUGCAAGUCGAACGCUGAAGAGAGGAGCUUGCUCUUCUUGGAUGAGUUGCGAACGGGUGAGUAACGCGUAGGUAACCUGCCUGGUAGCGGGGGAUAACUAUUGGAAACGAUAGCUAAUACCGCAUAAAAUGGAUUAUCGCAUGAUAAUCCAUUGAAAGGUGCAAAUGCAUCACUACCAGAUGGACCUGCGUUGUAUUAGCUAGUUGGUGGGGUAACGGCUCACCAAGGCGACGAUACAUAGCCGACCUGAGAGGGUGAUCGGCCACACUGGGACUGAGACACGGCCCAGACUCCUACGGGAGGCAGCAGUAGGGAAUCUUCGGCAAUGGACGGAAGUCUGACCGAGCAACGCCGCGGGAGUGAAGAAGGGUGUCGGAUCGUAAAGCUCUGUUGUAAGAGAAGAACGAGUGUGAGAGUGGAAAGUUCACACUGUGACGGUAGCUUACCAGAAAGGGACGGCUAACUACGUG
This 497-nucleotide ribosomal RNA is filed under the name uncultured bacterium. RNAcentral's name for it is "partial 16S ribosomal RNA". It matches the Rfam family "Bacterial small subunit ribosomal RNA", at positions 28 to 507 of the family's 1533-position model. The record is from RNAcentral.